This 433-nucleotide ribosomal RNA is filed under the name uncultured bacterium. Its description in RNAcentral is "partial 16S ribosomal RNA". It matches the Rfam family "Bacterial small subunit ribosomal RNA", at positions 29 to 507 of the family's 1533-position model. The record is from RNAcentral.
AACGAACGCUGGCGGCAGGCCUAACACAUGCAAGUCGAGCGAGCAUUUCGGUGCUAGCGGCGGACGGGUGAGUAACGCGUGGGAACGUGCCCUUUUCUGCGGAAUAGUCCUGGGAAACUGGGGGUAAUACCGCAUACGCCCUUUUGGGGAAAGAUUUAUCGGAGAAGGAACGGCCCGCGUUGGAUUAGGUAGUUGGUGGGGUAAUGGCCCACCAAGCCGACGAUCCAUAGCUGGGUUGAGAGGCUGAUCAGCCACACUGGGACUGAGACACGGCCCAGACUCCUACGGGAGGCAGCAGUGGGGAAUCUUAGACAAUGGGGGCAACCCUGAUCGAGCCAUGCCGCGUGAGUGAUGAAGGCCUUAGGGUUGUAAAGCUCUUUAAGCUGGGAAGAUAAUGACGGUACCAGCAGAAGAAGCCCCGGCUAACUCCGUG